This is a long non-coding RNA of Phalaenopsis equestris, 201 nucleotides long. RefSeq lists it as uncharacterized. The transcript is spliced from 3 exons. The record is from RefSeq and is a predicted model, not a curated record. Lineage: Eukaryota; Viridiplantae; Streptophyta; Magnoliopsida; Asparagales; Orchidaceae.
AAACUUCUAUAUAAAUAUGUGGCAAGAAAGAAGUGCAAAGCCGUGCAGAAGCAAGGAGGGUUGUAAGGUAAUUAUCUUUGGGAUUAGCAUUAAUUGAAGAUCAUGGCAACCCCAGCUCAAAUUCCACCUUAUCAAUUUACAUAUAUAUGGUCGAAUGCUUGGAACAUCCAGCCUGAUGGGUCAAAAUAUUAUUCUGGGGGA